This 253-nucleotide ribosomal RNA is filed under the name uncultured bacterium. RNAcentral describes it as "partial 16S ribosomal RNA". It matches the Rfam family "Bacterial small subunit ribosomal RNA", at positions 524 to 776 of the family's 1533-position model. The record is from RNAcentral.
UACGUAGGGUGCGAGCGUUAAUCGGAAUUACUGGGCGUAAAGCGUGCGCAGGCGGUUUUGUAAGCCAGAUGUGAAAUCCCCGGGCUUAACCUGGGAAUGGCAUUUGGGACUGCAAGGCUUGAGUGCGGCAGAGGAGAGUGGAAUUCCUGGUGUAGCGGUGAAAUGCGCAGAUAUCAGGAAGAACACCGAUGGCGAAAGCAGCUCUCUGGGACGGUACUGACGCUGAGGCGCGAAAGCGUGGGGAGCGAACAGG